RNAcentral lists this ribosomal RNA (307 nucleotides) under uncultured bacterium. Its description in RNAcentral is "bacterial SSU rRNA". It matches the Rfam family "Bacterial small subunit ribosomal RNA", at positions 28 to 334 of the family's 1533-position model. The record is from RNAcentral.
GAUGAACGCUGGCGGCGUGCAUAACACAUUCAAGUCGAACGGUGACGAGGACUUCGGUCCUCUGAUCAGUGGCGGACGGGUGAGUAACGCGUGAGCAACCUACCUAUCAGAGGGGGAUAACACAGGGAAACUUGUGCUAAUACCGCAUGACACAUACUGAUCGCAUGUUUGGUAUGUCAAAGAGAAAUCGCUGAUAGAUGGGCUCGCGUCUGAUUAGAUAGUUGGCAGGGUAACGGCCUACCAAGUCGACGAUCAGUAGCCGGACUGAGAGGUUGACCGGCCACAUUGGGACUGAGAUACGGCCCAG